RNAcentral lists this ribosomal RNA (253 nucleotides) under uncultured bacterium. RNAcentral's name for it is "partial 16S ribosomal RNA". It matches the Rfam family "Bacterial small subunit ribosomal RNA", at positions 524 to 776 of the family's 1533-position model. The record is from RNAcentral.
UACGUAGGGAGCGAGCGUUGUCCGGAAUUAUUGGGCGUAAAGAGCUCGUAGGCGGUUUGUUGCGUCGGCCGUGAAAACCUGCAGCUUAACUGUGGGCCUGCGGUCGAUACGGGCAGACUUGAGUUCGGUAGGGGAGACUGGAAUUCCUGGUGUAGCGGUGAAAUGCGCAGAUAUCAGGAGGAACACCGGUGGCGAAGGCGGGUCUCUGGGCCGAUACUGACGCUGAGGAGCGAAAGCGUGGGGAGCGAACAGG